This 6047-nucleotide long non-coding RNA is filed under the name Sus scrofa (pig). RNAcentral describes it as "lncRNA (ENSSSCG00060004197.1)". The record is from RNAcentral. Lineage: Eukaryota; Metazoa; Chordata; Mammalia; Artiodactyla; Suidae.
CACCACAGCCACAGCAACGCCAGAUCCAAGCCGCAUCUGUGACCUACACCACAGCUCAUGGCAAUGCUGGAUCCUCAACCCACUGAGUGAGGCUCGGGAUUGAACUCAUGUCCUCAUAGAUACUAGUUGGAUUUGUUAACCACUGAGCCAUGAUGGGAACUCCUAUAGGAGAAGGUGGUCGACCUGUUGUCCAUUUUCACCCGCUGGGACAAAUAAAUGGAGUAAGAAGCUGAAGGUCAGGUCCGCUGCAUAGUCCUUGAUGCUGGACUACGGGGAACGUCUGGGCUGAGCAUGGAAGUGGUCCGCUUCCUCCAGCUCACCCCUUCCGAGAAAUCUGCUAGGGCCUGGAAUCCCUGUCCUGACCUGUCUGAGAAGAAUGGAAACUCUGGGUGGAAAUGGAGUUGACAGGGGCUCGGGGUCAUGCGCGGCCUAAAUAAAGGAAGAAGGAGGGCAGUCAGCCUGUCAGACCCCAGCGCUCUGCCCAGGCAAAGGCUACUGACAGCCCUCCCUGAGGCUCACGCCAGUGGGUACUGUGCGGGACUGGCCUCUCUGGUGAAUUUCUCACCGACUUGCAGGGCUUGGUGGGUAUGGUGACUCACCUCUGGUCACCAGCAGAGGGCAGUGUCCAGAGUCCACGCCUCCUGCCUCACCCCUUGCUCCUUUCUCUGUCAAUGCCAGGUUAGCAGUUGACAGUUUACGGGAAGUGCCCCGAAGUGUCAGGAUCAGUAAAUGGGAAGAGGAUUUAGGAAGCAAGUGCAAGCCUAACCCACAGAGCAGAUUAUGCAGUUACACUGUUAUUACUUUGGGACGUAGUUACUCUUAAUGCUAACAAAUCUUGGGGAAAUGUAAUUACCGUGUAGCCUCUGUAUAUCACCAGAUCGCAGGAAGUAGAUCAGUGGGCACCCCACUCAGCCCCUGGGGGCUGGAGCAGAGUUAGAAUCUGUGCUGUUUCUUCUUGGCUUUAUCUUCUUUCCUAUAAAAUCUCUUGGGGAGCCUCCCCAGGAGGUGGCUCCCUGCUUUCAAUCUCAUUUUCUGAUAUCUGGCUCUGAAUCUCCCAUAAUUGAAUUUUGUCUGGGUCUGUCUCCCAGUCAUUCCUCUUGGCUUACUCGCCUUUCACUUGGGGAUGCCUUGCAGCAGGACCCAUCCCUGGGCUGGGAGAGUUGGGGUGCACUGGGUUGCCAGAGCAGAUGCACAACAUUCAUUAGAAAUAAUGACCACUGAGACAAAAGUCACUAGCAGUCCUUUAAUAUCCAUUCUUCUCUGCUUUUUUAGCGACUACUACUAAAGUAUGUCCUAUAUUGGUAGAAAAUAAGGCUGCCCAGAAAAAGCUCCAUAUUCCCAUCAUCCCUGGCAGCUGUGAUCACCCCCUGGCCAACAGGAUGGGAGUAAAAGGGAUGUGGAUAACUUCUGGACCAUUCCCUUCAAAGAAAGAGAGAAGUGCCUUCCUCCUAUUUCUCUCCUUCCCAUUGACUGGAAUUUGGGCACAUCACUAGGAUCUGGAGUGGCCACUGCGGGUCAGUGAUGGGAGUCACCCUCUACUGCCUGCCUCCCGACUGUCUGAGACACAGAAAUGACAAUUCGGGGUUUAUGACACUGUUAAGUUGGGUCUUUGUCAUGUGGCCCUAAACAGGACUCUGCUAUGGAGCCCUUUAGUGGAGAGCCUUCUAGGCAGGCUCUCCAUGGGUAAAAGCUUAGUAGGAGCUGGGGCCCAACUCCACUGACUUUGGGGUCAUCUUUUGCAGCAAUCCCUUCCAAAUCAGGCUUGGCCCCGCAUUUCUCCUUUGUUUCUUUGUUGGGGUUGCCGCUCUGGGGACAUACUCUCAGAGGUCAUUCAUACUCAGGGCUCCUGGGAUUGACAUUUGAGAGCAUGACGAGGUAGGAGGAGGGGGGUUGGGGCCCGGGAGUCCUGUCCUGACCCCCCAACACACUCCCCUUCCUGGCAUCGUCUGGCAGAGAGGAAAGAGGGCCGGGCUGGGUUUGAGAGCUGAGUCUGGCUCUGUCAUUAACCAGCUGUGUGUUUUUGAACAACUCUCUUCCUUCCGGAGCCAAAUCAGGGAGUUAGGCUGGAUGAUGGCUGGAAUUCCUUCCAACCUGGCAUUCAGUAAUGUGACAACUCCGUACCAGCCUUCAGACUGUGGUGGCAUCUUCAACACGUGAAGCAAGCGACCUCAGGAAGGUCCGUGUGUAUCUACAGUCAGGGCAGAGCAGCAGCGCCCACUUCUUAUCAUUUGCUGAGCUCUGAAGGGCUCUCUGGUGGAGGGGGUGGGGACAGGGCAUGGGGUGCAGGGGCAUUAUAAAGGUGACAGCUGGCAGGGUCAUCCCUUGAGGAGUCUAGUCUCUCUGGAGCCACAUGACACACACAUGGGAUCUGUGAGAAUAGCCUAGUAGUUACUCAAGAAAUGUGCCCCUAAGGAGGGGCCAAAGCACAGGUUGGGGUGGGGAGGGGAGCAUGGUGCCCUCAGCACAGGACUGAAGUCUGCCUGCCCUGUCCUUGCUAUAUGACCUUGAAUAUGUUUCCAAGCUUUUGAGCCUCAGUUCCUCACUUGUCGAGUCAGGAUGACAGAAGCAGCCCCCUUCUUUUUGCACACCCCAUGUGCAGUGUUCAUGAAGCCCCGACCCGUGGUAGAUGCUGAGUGAAUUCAGUUUCUGUCUCGCUCGCUCACUCCCUUUCUUCUCUGAAAACAUCAGGCUCUGAUUAAUUCUCCCACUUCGUUUACAGCUGACAUUCCACCUCUCUUGGCUUCUGUCCCCUGAAUCGUUCCUCUCUUUUCCUGUAUCUUUUCUUCCCUGCAACUCUGCACCGCCCACCCCCCCUUCCCCAGCAAAGUCCUCCCAUCAUCCUUUGCAGAGGGCAAGGACAGGUGGGGUUAGAGAGAUGCCCAGUGAUAUUUCAGAAGCUCUAAUUAAGGGGAAGAUUAUGCAUGCCAUUUGAGUUUCGAAAAGGAUUCAGAUCAGAAUGAAUAAAAUGCUAACUUUCCCCCUGUCUAACCCACUCACCCUGGGGCAAAAGGAACCAUAACUCAGUUUCUCCAGGAAGGGCAUCCAACAGCAGGUCAUCCUGGUCCACGGGACCACAGAAGCAGUGCUGACAGUCUCGGUAAGUAUCACUUCUGCUCGGCAGCCUGCCUCUCACCACCACAGCUAGAUGGGGACAGGAAAGGGUGACGGCCUUGUGCUGCGUUCUGCCUUCUGUGGAGGCUCUGGAUGUCUGUGCUACAAACAGGUGGCAGUGUGGCUUCAGGGCUGUGCUGCUCCCGGUGUGCUCUCGGCAGAUGCGCCUUCCCCAGGGGUGCUGAGGACCUUCUCCCCGCCUGCCCAUCGCCGAUGCCCACCUCCUUCUCCGUGCCACCUCCCCUGCUCGGGAGGCCCCUGCCGGCCCUCAGUGAGCCAGUGACAACUGGACCUCAAUCCUGAAAACAAUUCCCCACUCAUCCCCGGGGUCUCAGUUUACAUGAUUGUCGGUAGCACCCUCGCCCUCUCUCUGAACAUGCAGGCCCUGGACACGGGGCGUGUAAGUUAUUGCACACACGAUUGGGACGUAAUAAUUCAGGGGCCUCGAGGGGCCCCAUCAACAUGGCUCCUCCACAGUCCUACUUCCGGACCCAAAGGGGCAAGUCUCCUUAAGACUGGGCCUUGGGCCAAGGGCCCCACACUCCUGGAUCUUCUGUCAUGAACUAGUUGGGUGUCAUUUCCAUCAAUACAUCAGCUCUGUUUGUUAAGUGCAAGAGUUCCUUGCUGUCAUUUGAAGGAUUGUGGGGUAUAAUCAAAUAGUGCACAGGUAGAAAAGUACAAGGAGUCAGUUUAGAGCUAUAGUACAAAGGGACAACCGUGACAUGCUCGAGAUGGAGAAAGGAUGCCAUUCUCUAAAGAUCAGAGGCUGAUAAAAAGCAUCUAAAGUCUUCCAGCCUUCUGUGGCCAGAUUAAUAACUUGGAAGCUCUCCAUGGUUACCAGAUGCCCCUGGCCGACCACAGACCAUGGUUCUGUAAAACUCUUUUGACUGGCUAGGUAGCAGUCCCCAACUGUACAAUGAAGGCUAGGAUGAUGGUCAACCUUCAGGGGCUGAAGCAAGGAGAGUCUUGGCCCAAGUGUCAUCAAGUUCAUCUGUGAAUUUAUCUACUUACUAGAAUCCCCCCGAGUUCAUAAACGUGGUGUCCUUUCCCACCCUCUUCCCAGUAUUUCUUCUUUCUGGGGCAGUUCCCAGUGCAGACAGCUCAGGGCAAAGAAAAACCUGGACCGACGCAUCCCGUCCUCCUGAGUACCUAUCGCGGGGCCUCUUACAGCCGGCAAGCCCAUUGCUGCACCUGCUCCACGGCCCUCGCUGAGCGCUUGGCAGGCGAAUUAUUAAGGAAUUAUCGUGGGGCUUUUCCUCAGGCUGUGUGCCAGCAGGGCUGUGGCCCCAGCAUUUGGCUGUGGAAUAAAAGAUGCUCUGAUAAUUGCUGGGGCACCGUUACUUACUUCUACAACUAUUUUUAUUAAAGAAAGCCUUUUUUCUUAGGGCUCCAGGAAGAAGGCACUACCAUCAUUUUCUUUGCUGUCUCCCUUUAAUGAGGUCCAGGGUCAGGCAAAGGGAGUCAGACAGGUUUAGAAGGAGCCACACGGCAACAAAAUCGACCUCAGCCUGGAGAGCUGGACACCCUUCACUCCUCGGGGUGAUUAACUCUUCCCCCUCCUGCAGGCUGGCUGAACGGUGAUUGUAAACAGGCACGCACUAGGUUCAAGCUCCCCAUUUUUUUCCCAGUUAAAACUCCUCCCUGGAUCAGGAGGCAUUUCCCCUGCCCUUCCCUCCAAGCCCCCUCAUCUGGUAGUUUACACUUUAGGUUACAGAACCAUUGCCAGCAAUCCGAGCGUGGAGGCUGGAAGGAAGCUUUCCCUGGAGUCCAUUCACCUCCUUGCUCUGCUAUUUAGUUCCAACCCCCAUAACCCCUUGCGUUCGCCAGCCCUCCGGGGGUGGCAUCUAGGGAUCAUUUCAUCCCUACCCUUGUGAGUGGGUUAAAAUGAUCAUCUCCCAGGAUGCCUACGCCAACUGGAGUCUCCCCCCACCACCUCCUCCCCUGUCUUCUUGGCCCUCGGUUGGCUGAGAACAGUAGGAGCCUGUAACAGACAGCAUGUCAUCCGUUCCUGACAGCCUUGGUGCUGUAAUACGGGGCUGCCAAACCCAUUACAGUAAUGACAGCAUUGCAGAAUUAGAACGCUCACUCCUACAUAGAGAAGAAAAAAAAAAAAAUUGGGAGAGAGGGGGCCGGGUGGAAAUCUUGUGCUAUUUUGCUUGUUUUCUCUCUUUUCUCCUCCUCAGAUGUGGCAUCCUUCCUCUUUCGUUUUCUUUUAUUCCAUGAAAAAGAUAAACAAGCAGGCAACCAUAUAUCCUGAACCCAGCCAAGUUUUCCAAGAGGGGCGGCGGCAUCGGAAAGAGAUUACUGUGCCUCAUGGUGGAGCUAGCAGUGUGGUGCUAUGAUCAUUUCCCCCGAAAAGGGGCCUGUUCAUGGACGCUCUCUGCCGGGGCUUUCGUGGCCUCAACAGGCACGUCUGGAAUUCGCUUUCUGCCGCGGGCAGGGGAAGGGGUAUUGCAGAACCUAAUGAUCAUCUUCCUGACGGGGAUCACGGAGUGCUUUGAUAAUCAUGAUGAUGAAAGUGAUUUGUUCACGAUAAUUAGUGCCUAGGACUUCCUCGUGGAGGCAGGAGAAAGCCAUUGCUCCAUCUGGCAUAUGGGCAAACUGAGGCACGGAGAGCUGGGUCAAGGGCAGAGCACUAAUUCUCUCUGGCCACAAGGGACUGGUCCAGGCACAGAGAGGGAGGAGUCUGCAUAGGGGAGGGGGCUUGGGGGGGUCCUGCUUUUCGGGAAGGGGAACCUUCAACAUGAGAUAUGCAGGCUGGUUUAACACAACUAAGAGACGUGCAGGACCCAGGCUCCCAGAGCUCUGCUGAGUGUGGAUGUUUACGAACAAGGCUACAAGCAUACUGGUGCGAGUGCUGGGUUUUUCAGGGGAUGCCAGGCUCAAAUGAGGGAGGAGCAUCCACUUGGACAUGGGAAGAGACGGCAAGCUAGAAA